UUAUGGCUCAGGAUGAACGCUAGCGUACAGGCUUAACACAUGCAAGUCGUGGGGCAGCAUGGUCUUAGCUGCUAAGGCUGAGGGCGACCGGCGCACGGGUGAGUAACGCGUAUCCAACCUACCCCAUAGUAGGGGAUAGCCCGUAGAAAUGCGGAUUAAUACCCUAUGUUUUUCCGAGGAGGACAUCUGACUUGGAACAAAGAUUCAUCGCUAUGGGAUGGGGAUGCGUCCGAUUAGCUUGUUGGCGGGGUGACGGCCCACCAAGGCGACGAUCGGUAGGGGUUCUGAGAGGAAGGUCCCCCACACUGGUACUGAGACACGGACCAGACUCCUACGGGAGGCAGCAGUGAGGAAUAUUGGUCAAUGGGCGAGAGCCUGAACCAGCCAAGUAGCGUGCCAGGAAGACGGCCCUACGGGUUGUAAACUGCUUUUAUCAGGGGAUAAAGUGUGGGACGCGUCCCUCAUUGCAGGUACCUGAUGAAUAAGGACCGGCUAAUUCCGUGCCAGCAGCGGC
Molecule: ribosomal RNA, 514 nt
Filed under: uncultured bacterium
Lineage: Bacteria
Description: bacterial SSU rRNA
Rfam family: Bacterial small subunit ribosomal RNA
Source: RNAcentral